UGGGGAAUCUUGCGCAAUGCGCGAAAGCGUGACGCAGCAACGCCGCGUGAGGGAAGACGGCCUUCGGGUUGUAAACCUCUUUCAGGAGGGACGAAGGUUCGGCGGUGAAUAGCCGUCCGGACUGACGGUACCUCCAGAAGAAGCUCCGGCUAACUACGUGCCAGCAGCCGCGGUAAUACGUAGGGGGCAAGCGUUGUCCGGAAUCAUUGGGCGUAAAGCGCACGUAGGCGGCCCUGUAAGUCCGUUGUGAAAGUCAAAGGCUCAACCUUUGAAUGCCGAUGGAUACUGCAGGGCUAGAGUCCGGAAGAGGCGAGUGGAAUUCCUGGUGUAGCGGUGGAAUGCGCAGAUAUCAGGAGGAACACCAAUAGCGAAGGCAGCUCGCUGGGACGGUACUGACGCUAAGGUGCGAAAGCGUGGGGAGCGAACAGG
This 429-nucleotide ribosomal RNA is filed under the name uncultured bacterium. Its description in RNAcentral is "bacterial SSU rRNA". It matches the Rfam family "Bacterial small subunit ribosomal RNA", at positions 355 to 776 of the family's 1533-position model. The record is from RNAcentral.